CCUACGGGUGGCAGCAGUGGGGAAUAUUGGGCAAUGGGCGCAAGCCUGACCCAGCAACGCCGCGUGAGUGAAGAAGGCUUUCGGUUUGUAAACUUCUUUUGUCAGGGACGAAACACGUGACGGUACCUGACGAAUACGCCACGGCUAACUACGUGCCAGCAGCGGCGGUAAUACGUAGGUGGCCAGCGUUAUCCGGAUUUACUGGGUGUAAAGGGCGUGUAGGCGGGGAAGCAAGUCAGAUGUGACAACCACGGGCUCAACCUGGGGACUGCAUUUGAAACUGUUUUGCUGGAGUGCUGGAGAGGCAAUCGGAAUUCCGGGUGUAGCGGUGAAAUGCGUAGAUAUAAGGAGGAACACCAGUGGCGAAGGCGGAUUGCUGGACAGUAACUGACGUUGAGGCGCGAAAGCGUGGGGAGCAAACAGGAUUAGAUACCCUUGUAGUC
Molecule: ribosomal RNA, 443 nt
Filed under: uncultured bacterium
Lineage: Bacteria
Description: partial 16S ribosomal RNA
Rfam family: Bacterial small subunit ribosomal RNA
Source: RNAcentral